AUUGAACGCUGGCGGCAGGCCUAACACAUGCAAGUCGAGCGGAUGAAUCGAGCUUGCUCCUGGAUUCAGCGGCGGACGGGUGAGUAAUGCCUAGGAAUUUGCCUGGUAGUGGGGGAUAACGUCCGGAAACGGGCGCUAAUACCGCAUACGACCUGUGGGAGCAAGUGGGGGGUCUUCGGACCUCACGCUAUCUGAUGAGCCUAGGUCGGAUUAGAUAGUUGGUGGGGUAAAGGCCUACCAAGGCGGAGAUCCUUAACUGGUCUGAGAGGAUGAUCAGGCACACGGGAACUGAGACACGGUCCAGACACCUACAGGGAGCAGCAGUGGGGAAUAUUGGGCGAUGGACGAGAGCCUGAUACAGCCAUGCCGCGUGUGUGAAGAAGGUCUUCGGAUGGGUAAGCACUUUAAGUUGGGGGGAAGGACAGUAAGUUAAUACCUUGCUGUUUUGACGUUACCAACAGAAUAAGCACCGGCUAACUUCGUG
RNAcentral lists this ribosomal RNA (484 nucleotides) under uncultured bacterium. Its description in RNAcentral is "partial 16S ribosomal RNA". It matches the Rfam family "Bacterial small subunit ribosomal RNA", at positions 30 to 507 of the family's 1533-position model. The record is from RNAcentral.